UGCCAGUAUCCUGGUACACCUG
Molecule: unclassified non-coding RNA, 22 nt
Filed under: Mus musculus (house mouse)
Lineage: Eukaryota; Metazoa; Chordata; Mammalia; Rodentia; Muridae
Description: oocyte_clustered_small_RNA4061
Source: RNAcentral